AACCUAGACUGGUGUUCUUUCACACUUGAUUGCCUGUUACGAUCUAUCAAGAAAUUUCUGUUCAGGAAAAUGCAAAACAUAGAGUUGGAAUCUGGAGGUUGCAAGAUACUAUUAGUGAUAUCGUACUUUGAGUUUCUAAUAACUUCAGAGUUCAACUUGGGCAACAGUGUACCAAGGUUACCCCUGUGGACAACCCAUGUCGUAAACUCAUACAUCGCCCUUGAUUCACAACAAGGAAAUAGCAAAGGUUUUGGAAGACUAUCUAAAAAGCACAUAACAUCUACACCAUUCAAAGGAAGUAAGCAGCAAAUGGAAAUGCCUGCAGAAAUAAAAGAUUACAUGGAACUAAAAUUUCAAGGAAUCGCUUCA
Molecule: long non-coding RNA, 369 nt
Organism: Lolium rigidum
Lineage: Eukaryota; Viridiplantae; Streptophyta; Magnoliopsida; Poales; Poaceae
Exons: 3
Source: RefSeq, a predicted model, not a curated record